RNAcentral lists this transfer RNA (72 nucleotides) under Heterocephalus glaber (naked mole-rat). It matches the Rfam family "tRNA". Rfam says of the family: Transfer RNA (tRNA) molecules are approximately 80 nucleotides in length. Their secondary structure includes four short double-helical elements and three loops (D, anti-codon, and T loops). Lineage: Eukaryota; Metazoa; Chordata; Mammalia; Rodentia; Bathyergidae. The record is from Rfam by way of RNAcentral.
GGGGAUGUAGUUCAAUAGAGCAGCAUUUGCCUGACAUGCACAGGGCCCUGAGUUCAAUCCUUAGUAACCCCC